Molecule: long non-coding RNA, 5819 nt
Organism: Peromyscus californicus insignis
Lineage: Eukaryota; Metazoa; Chordata; Mammalia; Rodentia; Cricetidae
Exons: 7
Source: RefSeq, a predicted model, not a curated record
UAUUGCUUAAUUUGGCUCAGGAGCCUCUCCCCACGCUGGGUUUCUGUGAUCUAAAGUUUUACUAUACAAAGACAUGUCAGAGGGUGUGAGUAAUCAAAGGCAGACACUGGCACGUGAAAAACAUCCUCUGCAUCUCUGAAGGCAGACUUCCGAAAGUGACCGUCAAGUUGCAUGGGGUGGCCCACAGUUUUAGUUCCACCCCUCAGGAGGCAGAGGCAGGCAGAUGUCUUUGAGUUCAAGGCAUGCCAGGGCUACAAAGUGAGACCUUGUCUCAAAACAACAACAACAACAAAAAACAAAACAAAACAAAAAAACACCAAAGCAAAACAACAAAAAAGCGUCCUUUGACAUCAAUAUAAAAAUCAGUGGGACGCAGAAAGGAACAGCUGUGUAAGUGCCCAAGGCCAGGCAGCAGGAGGGGGUUCUGGGGUAGUGUUGAGGUGGCAUCUUCCCAUGAAGCCACACUACUGCAUACAUUCUACUGCAUACGUCCUGUGCUAUUUAUUUAUUAUUGUUUGUUUGUUUGUUUCUGGGGAUUGAAGCCAUUGACUUUGUGACGCUAGGCAAGCACUCUGCCGGUGAGAUAAACCCCAGCCCCCCUCAGCGACUAUUUUCAUUUGCUAAUAACUCUGAGCCUGUGUUGGAAUACUGCUAUCAGGCCCUUCUUCCCAGCUUACAAACGGCUACCGUUUUCCUGCGUUUCAUCAUCCAGCAACACCGCCUACUUUCCUUAAAGCCUGGGCCAAAAACAAGUCCCUGAACCCUGAACCUAACUAACCAAGGUCCUUCCUUCAACCUGCCUGAAGCAUGGCUCAACCAGCUACAGAGUCAGAUUUAAGGGCCGGGGCUGGCUCUAGAGUUCUUCCCCAGGGGGAGCAGCUAGUCUCCAAGGAAGAGGAACGGUAACCCUGGCAAAGCUCUUCCAAGAUUAUCUGAGUAGCCUCUAAGGAACUAACCAAUAAGAACCUCUGCAGCCCUUAGAUGACCUUAAAAAACAAAACAAAACAAAAAAACCACAAUGUAAACAGCAGGUACAUAGAAGUCCUAAUGGUAAACGAGACUGGAACAAGAAUGGAAAGGUGAUAAAUUCUGUAUAUUCCUAGACCGAAAGAUUGAACCAAUCCCAACACCCUUUUCUUCUUUAUGUAACGAGACACACCUUUCCUGCCCUGCACUCCCUGCAUUGGACUCGUUUAUUCUUUCAUCUGCCCAGGAGGUAUUUAAUUUGUGCUACUAUGUGCCAGGCACUGUCCUGGGGACUGGAGAAACAAAGAUAAGCAGUGUGCGGCCCUCUCAGUGUCUGCAGGGCCACCUUGGCGAGCCACAGCUAGUCUAUGACAAUUGGAUCACCUUGUCCUUCACGGCAGACAAGGUCUCUUAUCAGCCUGGAGCUUUCAGCAUACAAGACUGGUUGGAUGGAACUAGAAAAUAUCAUCCUGAGUGAGGUAACCCAGUCUCAGAAGGACAAACAUGAACUUUUCUAGAAUGACUGAUGGAAGCAGAUGCAGAGAUCCACAGCCAAUCACCAUACAGAGCUCCAGGAGUCCAGUUAAAGAGAGAGAAGAGGGAUUCUAUGAGCAAGUGCAUCAGGAUCAUGAUGGGGAAACAUGCAGAGACAACCAAACCAAACUAGAGGGAACUCAUGAAAGUUGGAUCAAUGGCCGUGGAUCCUACAUGGGACAGAACUAGGCCCUCUGCAUGUAAACCACCGAAUUGGUAUCUCCAGAACUUCCGGCCAUUUAAAAUACUCGAGGAAGCAGUCCACUCUGGUUAAGAGUCAGCAACACAAUAAACAGAGGGGUUAGAUGUCCCAAAGCGUGGAUAACUGGAUGAUCUGAUAAAGACAGCAGGCAGGGUGUCACUAGUCCAGACUGGCCUGCAACAGGCCAUCCCCCUGCUCCAGCACCCUUGAGGAUGGAACUGCAGUCCUGAACCACCGUGCUUGGGCCGAAGGAGAACUACAUUUUCCUGAGCACUGAGGGCCCUGGGAGGAACGUCCUGAAGUUCAAGCCUCCAACGUGCUUCCGCCUGGACAACGCACAGCAUGUAGCAAAGCUGGAUGGCAUUCUAACAGGACCAAAGAAAAUAUGCCAGAAGCCUGUACCAUUUCCAGAGGGAGAAGCAGAAGAAUCUGAAGUUCAAGGUUAUCCUCAUUUACACAGUGAACUGAAUGCCAAUGUAGUAUAUAUGAUGUAAGGAUUAUGUCCUUAAUUAUGUCACCAGCCUGUGACAGUGUCCCAGCCUAAAAAGUGGGCGUGCCCUCUCUGUGCCCUCUUUUUCCUCACUCUCUCCUUCCAUAUUCUCUCCCCUCUGCGCUCGCUCUCUCUCUCUCUCUCUCUCUCUCUCUCUCUCUCUCUCUCUCUCUCUCUCUCUCUCUCUCUCCCCCCCUUUCUUUCCCAAUAAAGCUCUAGAAAGGUAACCAUGGCUCAUGAUUCUUCCGCCAUCGCAACAUCCAGGGCUCUCUUCCGUUGGCAUGGCCGCUGCAGGCGGCAGCCAACCAUGAGAGCUGCCACUUAACCAACAUAUGAGGCUCUGUCUCAAAAAACAAACAAACAAACAAACAAACAAAAAACAAAAACCUAAAAAAACCUAUUUUUAAAUUAAAAGUUGGCAGGAAGGUCUCAUCAAUAAUAUGUUUAAGCAGAGAUGUGGAGGAAAAGAAUAAAAAGAACAUUCAGAGUCCUUGAAGAAAAGUAGUUUAGGUCUAAUUCACACAAGUGUGAAGCCUAAGAUGAGAACAUAAUUGGUGUAGAAGAACAGGAAGUUUUCAAUGAAGAGCCAGUUCGAGCCCCACAAAGAACUCUGACUUUCAUUUGAAUCAGAAGUGAUGUGAUCUUUUAUAACAAUUACUCUGAUUGCUGUGAAAGAACAGACUAUAGAGGGACAGGAAUUUAAACAAGAACAGUUAGAUUACUGAAAUAAUGUAGAUGAAAGAAAAUGGUGGCUUAAACAGAAAUGGAUGUGAUGGAGGUAGAGGUCACUGCUUAAAAUGUAGAGGAUGUGUUAGCAAGACGGCUCAGCAGUAAAGGCACUGAGUUCAACCCCUGGAACACACAUGCUAAAAACAAAGAACUGACUCUGGUAAGUUGUCCUCUGAUGUGUACAUAUGUACACGUACAGAGAGAGAGAGAGAGAGAGAGAGAGAGAGAGAGAGAGAGAGAGAGAGAGAGAGAGAGAGAGAGGGAAGGAGGGAGGGAAGGAGGGAGAGAGAGAGUAUAAAUGAAUGAAUAAAGUUGAAAGUAGAGAAGGCAUAAUUUACUAAUGGAUUAAAGUCAGACAUGACCACAAUUUACUGGUAAGGAAAACUAGAUAAAAAGCAGAGUUGUUGAGGAAUUGAGGAGAAAGAUCUAGAGUUUGGUUUGGGAUGUGCUCUGUCUGAGACACCUGUUUACUUCCUAAUAAUGAUACUGAGUAGAUGUGGAGUGGUAUUUGUGGAAGAUGUCUGGACUUGAGCUGUAAGUCCCAGAAUGAUUAUAAAAUCCAUGUAGAUAUGAACAGAGAGAAAGUGGCAAGGUUGAGCCUUAGGGUGUUACAAAGUUGUAGAGAUAAAGAAAGAUAGGCAAGCAUAAUUUGAAAUCAAUGACAAAAGAAAAUUAUAAUGAGAAAGAGCCCAGAGAGUUUUUAUGGAAGCCAAGUGAAGAGAAUGUCUCAAAAAGAAUAGAGGCAUAAAGGCAUCCAAUCAAAGAGAAGUAAUGAGAGUCUAGAAACAACGCCUACUCUCAUGCCCAGUUCAUGUCUGAUAAAUGUGCUAAGGCUGUUUUAGAGGAAACAAGUAGUUUAAUACAUUAUGCUGGACAAUGCAUAAGAGUGAGGUUGAACUAUUCCCUGUACCAUCCACACACAACUACAAAUGGAUCACAGAUCUAAAUACACCAGCUAUAAAACUAUAAAACUCUCAAAAAAACAAAGGAUUGGGGGCUGAGGAAAUGGCUCAGUCAAGUGUCUGCUGUGCAAGCAUGAUGACCUGAGUUCAGAUCCCCAGCAUAUAUGAAAAAAGCAGGGCAUGCUGGGGAUCGGAAUGCACGCCUUGAUCCCAGCACUUGGAAGGCAGAGGCAGGCAGAUCUCUGUGAAUUAAAGGCCAGCCUGAUCUAUAGAAGAGCUAGUUCCAGGACAGCCAAGGCUACACAAAGAAACCCUAUUUCAAAAAAUAACAAACAACAAACAAACAAACAAACAAACAAACAAAGCAGGACAUGGUAGCACAUGUCUGUAACCUUAGUGUCGGUGGGAUGGGGUGGAGACAGGCUGAUCCUUAGAGUUCACUGGCCAGAUAAUCCAGCUAAUCAAUGAGCUCCAAGCUCAGAGAGACCCAGCCUCAAAACAUAAGGUCGAAAGCAAUAGAGCAGUAUUCCUUAACCUUCCUACUGCUGUGACCCUUUAACACAGUUCCUCAUGCUGUGGUGACCUUCAACCAUAAAAUUAUUUUGUUGCUACUUCAUAAGUGUAAUUUUGCUACUGUUAUGAAUAGUAAUGUAAAUAUCUGAUAUGCAGGAUAUCUGACAUGCAACCUUCACAGGUUGAGAACUGCUGCAAUAGAGGAAGAUACCCGAUCAACCUGUGGCCUCCUGUAAGCUCUGUAACAAGCACACAGAAGCACACAGUCACAUAUAACACACACACACACACACACACACACACACACAUACACACAGAGAGAGAGAGUAUUAAAUCUUUGUAAUUUUGUAUUAAACCAUAGUUUCUUAGUUAUAAUAAAAAAUCAUGAUCAAAACAAAAAAUGUUGAUAAACUGAAUUUUAUCAAAAUUCAAGACCUUUGUGUGCUACUUCACAUCAAUUAUGAUGGCUCUUAUUAAAUAAGAAAACAAGCAUUAGAGAUCCUGUGGAGAAACUAGAAUCCCUAUGCACUGUUGGUGGGGACACAAAAUUGUGCACUUUACCAACUGCGCCAUCUCUCCAACCCCUCAUCCUUUGGGAUAUUUUUCUAAAUAUUUUAUAGGUUUAGGCUCAUAUAGUUAGGUCAGUGGUGCAUUUGGAGUUGUUUUUGCUUGUGUGUGUGUGUGUGUGUGUGUGUGUGUGUGUGUGUGUGUGUGUGUGUGUGUAUGCAUGUGGGCUUAGUUAAAAAUAACUAUUUAGAGUUGUUUUGUGCUAGUUAGGGUUCAACCUCACACUCUUGUGCAUUAUGCAUAUCAAGUUGUCCAUCAUAAUUUAUUUUACUCUUCUGUCCUUAAAAAACAGCCUUAGGGGACUGGAUAGAUGGUUCAGUGGUUAAGAGCACUGAGUGGUCUUCCAGCUGAACCAGGUUCAAUUUCCAGCACACACAUCAGGCAGCUCACAACCUCCUGUAAGUUAAGCUCCCAGGAAUCUGGCCUUCUGGCCUACACCAGCACCAACAUGUGGCAUACACUCACACAUAUACAUGAUUUAAAAAACAAAACAACAACAACAACAACAAAACGGCCUUAGAACUUUUGUCAAAGCUGUGUUGGACAUCUCAUCUUCCACUAUGAAUCUCUACUUCACAUUUUAGUUCUGGACUUGAGGAGAGACCCUGUCUCAAAAAAUAAGGUAAAGCCAGGCAGUGGUGGAGCAGGUCUUUAAUCUAGCACUUGGGAGACAGAGGCAGGCAGAUCUUAGUUUGAGGACAGCCUAGUCUACAUAAUGAGUUCCAGGACGACCAAAAGAAACCCUGUCUUGAAAAACUAAAUAAAAUAUAAUAAUAAUAAUAAUAAUAGUAAUAAUAAUAAUAAAAUAACAAUAAUAAUAAUAAUGUAGAGAGAGUCGUAGUGGAAGAUGUCUGACACAGUAAUCCCAACCUCAAAACAUACACCCAAAAGAAAUGAAGGCAGGAACUCAACACAC